UUACAAAGAAUUACAAAGAACUGUAUUCUACUGUUAACAUUGAUUGCUUUUUUUAAGCUUUACUAUAACUCAUACUAUACGACCAUCACAAGUUCUCCCGCCCAAUAACAAAGAAUUGUAAGAACAUCCAUCUAGCAAAUUGAAUAAAACAGAAAUUAAAAAUAAAAUAUAAUGCAUAAAUCAAAAUUGAACAUAACCAUUGGUUGCUAUUUAACAACUUUAACAAAACAAAAAUCAAAUAUAAUCCAAUAACAAAGAAUUGUAACAACAUUCAUUACAACUGUUUCUAUUUUGUGUUGUGAGUUAUGCAGUAAUUGAUAAGCUACCUGGUUUAACAGUUGUGUUAUAUGCUAACAGGAACCAUAAACUAGGGAAAAGAAGGAAGACCACAUCAAAAGAAAUAAAACCAACAACAGGAAAAUGAAUGAAAGCAGACUACAGAAAAAAAAAAAAAAACGAAUGCAGACAUCAUGAACAAAUACGAACCUUAGCAGUGAGGUUGAUGUCUUCACAGGGGAGAAGGUUAUGGUGGCGAGCAGUGGACGACUUGCUUGAUGAGGCAACGACCGACAGAAUUAGGGCUCGUCGGCUGUGGCAGUACCGAAAUCGAAGAACAGUUGCAGACUCGUUGGGGUCUUCUGUCGUGGAGGCGGACUCGCCGGCGUCAGAUCUGACCGGAAUCGAACUCGUCGGCGUCGCUAUGGCCGGAAUCGAAGAAACAAUCGGGUGAACAUCGACGUCGGGGGUUUAUUGGGUUUAGACUUUAGAGUAUGUAGUUCAAUUCUUUAUUUUUUUUACUUGGUAUUAAAUUUUGACCCUAAAGGGUAAAUAUGUUUAAAAGCAC
This 844-nucleotide long non-coding RNA is filed under the name Lactuca sativa (garden lettuce). RNAcentral describes it as "long non-coding RNA (LSAT_LNC005036)". The record is from RNAcentral. Lineage: Eukaryota; Viridiplantae; Streptophyta; Magnoliopsida; Asterales; Asteraceae.